This 2733-nucleotide ribosomal RNA is filed under the name marine eukaryotic metagenome. RNAcentral describes it as "Bacterial large subunit ribosomal RNA". It matches the Rfam family "Bacterial large subunit ribosomal RNA". The record is from RNAcentral.
AGUAUGAUAAGAGCAUACGGUGAAUGCCUUGGCAUUAGGAGGCGAUGAAGGACGUGAUACGCUGCGAUAAGCGUCGGCGAGCUGCGAAUAAGCUUUGACCCGACGAUUUCCGAAUGGGGCAACCCACCACCUUGAGUGGUAUCUCCACAUGAAUACAUAGUGUGGCGAAGCGAACCUGGAGAACUGAAACAUCUAAGUACCCAGAGGAAAAGAAAUCAACCGAGAUUCCGUAAGUAGUGGCGAGCGAAAGCGGAUUAGACCAGUGGCUUAUAAGUAAAAACGUGAACAUGUUGGGAAGCAUGGCGAUACAGGGUGAUAGCCCCGUAACGGUAAAAAGCUUAUAAGUCCUUGAGUAGGGCGGGACACGUGAAACCCUGUCUGAAUAUGGGAGGACCAUCUUCCAAGUCUAAAUACUACCUAAUGACCGAUAGUGAACAAGUACCGUGAGGGAAAGGUGAAAAGUACCCCGAUAAGGGGGGUGAAAUAGUACCUGAAACCGUAUGCUUACAAGCAGUGGGAGCACCCUUGAGGUGUGACCGCGUACCUUUUGUAUAAUGGGUCAGCGAGUUAUAUUAUGCAGCAAGCUUAAGCCGACAGGUGUAGGCGCAGCGAAAGCGAGUCUUAAUAGGGCGCGUAGUUGCAUGGUAUAGACCCGAAACGAAGUGAUCUAGUUAUGGGCAGGUUGAAGGUAAGGUAACACUUACUGGAGGACCGAACCCACGCCUGUUGAAAAAGGCGGGGAUGACCUGUGACUAGGGGUGAAAGGCCAAUCAAACUUCGAAAUAGCUGGUUCUCUCCGAAAAGUAUUUAGGUACUGCGUCGUGUGGUUACCGCCGGGGGUAGAGCACUGGAUGGGCUAGGGGGGCCUACCGCCUUACCAAACCUAACCAAACUCCGAAUACCGGUAAGUACAGCACGGCAGACACACUAUGGGUGCUAAGGUCCAUAGUGGAAAGGGAAACAGCCCAGACCGCCAGCUAAGGUCCCAAAGUUUAUGUUAAGUGUAAAAGCAGGUGAAAUUACUCAGACAACCAGGAGGUUGGCUUAGAAGCAGCCAUCCUUUAAAGAAAGCGUAACAGCUCACUGGUCAAGUGAUUUUGCGGCGAAGAUUCAACGGGGCUUAAACAUAACACCGAAGCUGCGGACUUGAGAUUUAUCUCAAGUGGUAGGAGAGCGUUCCGUAAGCGGAUGAAGGUCAACCGACGAGGUUGGCUGGACGUAUCGGAAGUGAGAAUGCUGACACGAGUAGCGAUUAGACGAGUGAGAACCUCGUCCGCCGAAAUCCCAAGGGUUCCUACGCAAUGCCAAUCAGCGUAGGGUUAGCCGGCACCUAAGGCGAGGCCGAAAGGCGUAGUCGAUGGAAAUCAGGUUAAUAUUCCUGAGCCAGUUGGAGGUUGACGGAUUCAGUAAAUUGUACGUCCUUAUUGGAUUGGAUGUGCAGUGAAUGAGUUCCAGGAAAUAGCACCAACAUGAAGGCCGUACCCCAAACCGACACAGGUGGGAUGGUUGAGUAUACCAAGGCGUUGAGAGAACUAUGGUUAAGGAACUCGGCAAAAUGCUCCCGUAACUUUGGGAUAAGGGAGACCUAUGCUAAGGCAACUUAAUAUAGGUGGCACAGAAUAGGGGGUAACGACUGUUUAUUAAAAACAUAGCACUAUGCAAAAUCGUAAGAUGAAGUAUAUGGUGUGACGCCUGCCCGGUGCCGGAAGGUUAAUUGAUGGGGUGCAAGCCCUUGAUCGAAGCCCCGGUAAACGGCGGCCGUAACUAUAACGGUCCUAAGGUAGCGAAAUUCCUUGUCGGGUAAGUUCCGACCCGCACGAAUGGCGUAACGAUUUCCCCACUGUCUCAACCAUAGACUCAGCGAAACUGACUUCUCUGUUAAGAUGCAGAGUACCCGCGGCCAGACGGAAAGACCCCGUGCACCUUUACUACAGCUUCGCAGUGGAUUUAGAUCUAACAUGUGCAGGAUAGGUGGGAGGCUUUGAACAUAUGACGCCAGUUGUAUGUGAGCCAUCCUUGAGAUACCACCCUUGUUAUAUUUGAAUUCUAACCGCACUCUGUUAUCCAGAGUCGGGACCCUGCGUGGUGGGUAGUUUGACUGGGGUGGUCGCCUCCCAAAGAGUAACGGAGGCGCGCGAUGGUAGGCUCAAUACGGUUGGAAACCGUAUGACGAGUGUAAUGGCAAAAGCCUGCCUGACUGUAAGAGAGACAUCUCGAGCAGAGACGAAAGUCGGUCAUAGUGAUCCGGUGGUUCCACAUGGAAGGGCCAUCGCAAACGGAUAAAAGGUACGCCGGGGAUAACAGGCUGAUAACGCCCAAGCGUCCACAGCGACGGCGUUGUUUGGCACCUCGAUGUCGGCUCAUCACAUCCUGGGGCUGUAGCAGGUCCCAAGGGUUCGGCUGUUCGCCGAUUAAAGUGGUACGUGAGCUGGGUUUAGAACGUCGUGAGACAGUUCGGUCCCUAUCUACCGUGGGUGUAGGAAUAUUGAGAAGAGUUGCUCCUAGUACGAGAGGACCGGAGUGAACGUACCCCUGGUGUACCUGUUGUCGCGCCCGCGGCAUCGCAGGGUAGCUAUGUACGGACAGGAUAACCGCUGAAGGCAUCUAAGCGGGAAGCCCCCUUCAAAACUAGUAUUCCCUUGAGAGACGUUGCAGACCACGACGUUGAUAGGCUGGGUGUGGAAGCAUGGUAACAUGUGAAGCUAACCAGUACUAAUUUCUCAAUUGGCUUAA